AGAGCAAUGGAGGAUGGAUUUGGAGCUGCAAGGCAAUAAACUGGUAACUGAACAAAACCAGUCCAAGAAGAUUGUAUAUAAGAGACACCUGAUAAUUUCAAAAUCCUAGGCCCACUUCCUGAGCUGAGCAAGCAUGCAACCUCAAAGAGAAAAGUUUGAGGAAAUCACUUCAAGGACAAAAAAUUGCAAUGUAAAGAGAAUUAUUUAUCUCCAAAUUCCAGAUUACCCCCCUGCCCAACCCCUGCCAGCAGCACCGUCCACAUGGUUUCUCAUUUAGUUUUGUGUUAGUUUAACAAAGUAGACUCUGCAAUCUGGAUAAAAUAGUAAGUCACCUCAGAUGGAUCUGAGAACGCUGUCUGGGCUUGGUACCAAGAGCUGGUAUUUCACAGCAGCGACCGCCUCACAGACGAGCUGUGGGAAGCAGGAGGGAGACUCUCUCUUAGGGUGCCACUACUAUGGAGACACAGCUGGGCUGAACAAGAUUUGCUUCAAACGACAACAAGAGAGACAGAAAGUAUCUGGUUCAACCGCUGCCCGAGCAGGCAGGCACCAGAAGAGCUAGCAGCCAAUCCGGCCAUGCUCGAAGCCAGCUCUGCAGCUCAGCCAAUCAGUGACAUCAUUGGUGAGAAACUCAUUUACAUCAUGCAGUAAUGAACUUUGUUUAACAUAGACUUCCCCCUUUCCUGUCACCCCCCCCCCUUUCCAUAUUAGGUCCUUCCAUUAAUUAUUCUGCUGGCAUAAUUUAAACCGC
RNAcentral lists this long non-coding RNA (751 nucleotides) under Homo sapiens (human). Its description in RNAcentral is "mir-99a-let-7c cluster host gene". Lineage: Eukaryota; Metazoa; Chordata; Mammalia; Primates; Hominidae. The record is from RNAcentral.